AUGACAUUCGGACCGUCGGUCUACCAAGCAAUAUCGCCUGCUCGGUGGAAGUUCUUCUCUUUGUCAU
This 67-nucleotide microRNA precursor is filed under the name Bombyx mori (domestic silkworm). RNAcentral's name for it is "mir-2774 microRNA precursor family". It matches the Rfam family "mir-2774 microRNA precursor family". Lineage: Eukaryota; Metazoa; Arthropoda; Insecta; Lepidoptera; Bombycidae. The record is from Rfam by way of RNAcentral.